GGACGAUUAGCUCAGUUGGGAGAGCACCGCCCUUACAAGGCGGGGGUCACUGGUUCAAGCCCAGUAUUGUCCACCA
This 76-nucleotide transfer RNA is filed under the name Paraglaciecola chathamensis. RNAcentral's name for it is "tRNA-Val". It matches the Rfam family "tRNA". Rfam says of the family: Transfer RNA (tRNA) molecules are approximately 80 nucleotides in length. Their secondary structure includes four short double-helical elements and three loops (D, anti-codon, and T loops). Further hydrogen bonds mediate the characteristic L-shaped molecular structure. tRNAs have two regions of fundamental functional importance: the anti-codon, which is responsible for specific mRNA codon recognition, and the 3' end, to which the tRNAs corresponding amino acid is attached (by aminoacyl-tRNA synthetases). tRNAs cope with the degeneracy of the genetic code in two manners: having more than one tRNA (with a specific anti-codon) for a particular amino acid; and 'wobble' base-pairing, i.e. permitting non-standard base-pairing at the 3rd anti-codon position. RNAcentral also lists the same sequence under 1 other name. Lineage: Bacteria; Pseudomonadati; Pseudomonadota; Gammaproteobacteria; Alteromonadales; Alteromonadaceae. The record is from RNAcentral.